This 611-nucleotide long non-coding RNA is filed under the name Olea europaea subsp. europaea. The record is from RNAcentral. Lineage: Eukaryota; Viridiplantae; Streptophyta; Magnoliopsida; Lamiales; Oleaceae.
GUUUUUUCAGCUAAAUGCACAAGUUUUUUCUUGGUGAUGAAAUCAGGUAUCAUUUUCAUCUUUAGAUGUUGGAGUUGUUCCAGAAUCCACAACUAGUGAGGUUUCGGUCUCCCACCCAAGACCUCCAAAGGGGACCAUUGAUCUCUUCUCUAGCCCUCCUAUCCCAAUGCCAACACAACUUUCUCCAACGGACAGAGAAGCCAGAGUGUUAAGGUACAGAGAGAAGAAGAAGGCGAGGAAGUUUGAGAAGACCAUCAGGUAUGCAUCAAGGAAGGCCUAUGCAGAAACCAGACCUAGGAUCAAAGGUCGAUUUGCAAAAAGAACAGAUGUAAGAGCCAACCAGAUGUUCUCAUCAACGCUAAUAGAAGAAGGUGGCUAUGGAAUCGUCCCAUCAUUCUGAUCUGAUCCCAGCAAGAAAAGGUUUAAGAGAAUUAAAAAACGAAUCAUCUCAAAUUUGUACCAAUCAUUUCAAAAGCCAUUACCAAUGAUUCUCUUAGUAAUUCCUGUUUAUAAUUUAGGUAUCAUCUUGUUCAAAUCUCUGCCUUGUUGUAAAUCCAUGUACUUGUGCACUUACACCGGUACCAAUCCUUUGUUUACAUUGUUUAAUGAAC